AUGUGCACAAGGAAACAUGAAGGUGGCAUGGGUUUCAGAGAUUUUGAGAUGUUCAAUCUAGCUCUCUUGGCCGAAGAAGUGUGGCGGAUCCCGACAGCCCCGAACUGUCUAUGUGCUCGAGUCUUGAAGGCUCGCUAUUUUCCGGACACGGAUAGUAUGGCUGCGGCGUGUCCUCAAGGUUGCUCUUAUACUUGCAGAAGUUUGAUACAUGGUAGAAAUCUGCUAAUGCACGGACUAAUUUGGAGAAUAGGGGAUGACUCUAAAGUUAAUGCCUAUCAUGAUAAUUGGAUCCCCCGUAGUAGUAGUUUAGUGCCACUGGGUGCUGAACAUGUACCACAUGUGCUAAACGUGGCUGAUCUUAUGAAUCAACAGGGGCGUGCUUGGGAUGAAACAAAACUGCAGCAAGCCUUCUCAGAUGAUGACGUGAUGGAGAUUAAACGUAUCAUUGUGGGUGGGCCAGGAAUUGAGGAUCACGCUUGGAGUCAUACUAAGUCCGGCGUCUUUUCCGUGCGCGUAUCACCUCGGUAUGUCCAUCAAGGACGCGUUUGGUAG
This 552-nucleotide ribosomal RNA is filed under the name Triticum aestivum (bread wheat). RNAcentral's name for it is "partial small subunit ribosomal RNA". Lineage: Eukaryota; Viridiplantae; Streptophyta; Magnoliopsida; Poales; Poaceae. The record is from RNAcentral.